RNAcentral lists this ribosomal RNA (2900 nucleotides) under Streptococcus pneumoniae. RNAcentral's name for it is "23S ribosomal RNA". It matches the Rfam family "Bacterial large subunit ribosomal RNA". Lineage: Bacteria; Bacillati; Bacillota; Bacilli; Lactobacillales; Streptococcaceae. The record is from RNAcentral.
UUAAGUUAAUAAGGGCGCACGGUGGAUGCCUUGGCACUAGGAGCCGACGAAGGACGUGACAAACGACGAUAUGCCUUGGGUAGCUGUAAGUAAGCGAUGAUCCAGGGAUUUCCGAAUGGGGGAACCCAACAGGUAAUACCUGUUACCUACAUCUGUUAAGGAUGUGAGGAGGAAGACGCAGUGAACUGAAACAUCUAAGUAGCUGCAGGAAGAGAAAGCAAAAGCGAUUGCCUUAGUAGCGGCGAGCGAAACGGCAGGAGGGCAAACCGAAGAGUUUACUCUUCGGGGUUGUAGGACUGCAAUGUGGACUCAAAGAUUAUAGAAGAAUGAUUUGGGAAGAUCAGCCAAAGAGAGUAAUAGCCUCGUAUUUAAAAUAGUCUUUGUACCUAGCAGUAUCCUGAGUACGGCGGGACACGUGAAAUCCCGUCGGAAUCUGGGAGGACCAUCUCCCAACCCUAAAUACUCCCUAGUGACCGAUAGUGAACCAGUACCGUGAGGGAAAGGUGAAAAGCACCCCGGGAGGGGAGUGAAAUAGAACCUGAAACCGUGUGCCUACAACAAGUUCGAGCCCGUUAAUGGGUGAGAGCGUGCCUUUUGUAGAAUGAACCGGCGAGUUACGUUAUGAUGCGAGGUUAAGUUGAAGAGACGGAGCCGUAGGGAAACCGAGUCUGAAUAGGGCGCCUUAGUAUCAUGACGUAGACCCGAAACCAUGUGACCUACCCAUGAGCAGGUUGAAGGUGCGGUAAGACGCACUGGAGGACCGAACCAGGGCACGUUGAAAAGUGCUUGGAUGACUUGUGGGUAGCGGAGAAAUUCCAAACGAACUUGGAGAUAGCUGGUUCUCUCCGAAAUAGCUUUAGGGCUAGCGUCGACAUUAGAGAUUCUUGGAGGUAGAGCACUGUUUGGGUGAGGGGUCCAUCCCGGAUUACCAAUCUCAGAUAAACUCCGAAUGCCAAUGAAUUAUGGUCGGCAGUCAGACUGCGAGUGCUAAGAUCCGUAGUCGAAAGGGAAACAGCCCAGACCACCAGCUAAGGUCCCAAAAUAAUUGUUAAGUGGAAAAGGAUGUGGGGUUGCACAGACAACUAGGAUGUUAGCUUAGAAGCAGCUAUUCAUUCAAAGAGUGCGUAAUAGCUCACUAGUCGAGUGACCCUGCGCCGAAAAUGUACCGGGGCUAAAACAAUUUACCGAAGCUGUGGAUACCUUUAUAGGUAUGGUAGGAGAGCGUUCUAUGUGUGAUGAAGGUAUACCGUGAGGAGUGCUGGAACGCAUAGAAGUGAGAAUGCCGGUAUGAGUAGCGAAAGACAGGUGAGAAUCCUGUCCACCGUAAGACUAAGGUUUCCAGGGGAAGGCUCGUCCGCCCUGGGUUAGUCGGGACCUAAGGAGAGACCGAAAGGUGUAUCCGAUGGACAACAGGUUGAUAUUCCUGUACUAGAGUAUGUAGUGAUGGAGGGACGCAGUAGGCUAACUAAAGCAGACGAUUGGAAGAGUCUGUCUAAGCAGUGAGGUGUGAAUUGAGUCAAAUGCUUAAUUCUAUAACAUUGAGCUGUGAUGGGGAGCGAAGUUUAGUAGCGAAGUUAGUGACGUCACACUGCCAAGAAAAGCUUCUAGCGUUUAAACAUACUCUACCCGUACCGCAAACCGACACAGGUAGUCGAGGCGAGUAGCCUCAGGUGAGCGAGAGAACUCUCGUUAAGGAACUCGGCAAAAUGACCCCGUAACUUCGGGAGAAGGGGUGCUGACUUUAAGUCAGCCGCAGUGAAUAGGCCCAAGCAACUGUUUAUCAAAAACACAGCUCUCUGCUAAAUCGUAAGAUGAUGUAUAGGGGGUGACGCCUGCCCGGUGCUGGAAGGUUAAGAGGAGUGCUUAGCGUAAGCGAAGGUAUGAAUUGAAGCCCCAGUAAACGGCGGCCGUAACUAUAACGGUCCUAAGGUAGCGAAAUUCCUUGUCGGGUAAGUUCCGACCCGCACGAAAGGCGUAAUGAUUUGGGCACUGUCUCAACGAGAGACUCGGUGAAAUUUUAGUACCUGUGAAGAUGCAGGUUACCCGCGACAGGACGGAAAGACCCCAUGGAGCUUUACUGCAGUUUGAUAUUGAGUGUCUGUACCACAUGUACAGGAUAGGUAGGAGUCUAAGAGAUCGGGACGCCAGUUUCGAAGGAGACGCUGUUGGGAUACUACCCUUGUGUUAUGGCCACUCUAACCCAGAUAGGUGAUCCCUAUCGGAGACAGUGUCUGACGGGCAGUUUGACUGGGGCGGUCGCCUCCUAAAAGGUAACGGAGGCGCCCAAAGGUUCCCUCAGAAUGGUUGGAAAUCAUUCGCAGAGUGUAAAGGUAUAAGGGAGCUUGACUGCGAGAGCUACAACUCGAGCAGGGACGAAAGUCGGGCUUAGUGAUCCGGUGGUUCCGUAUGGAAGGGCCAUCGCUCAACGGAUAAAAGCUACCCUGGGGAUAACAGGCUUAUCUCCCCCAAGAGUUCACAUCGACGGGGAGGUUUGGCACCUCGAUGUCGGCUCGUCGCAUCCUGGGGCUGUAGUCGGUCCCAAGGGUUGGGCUGUUCGCCCAUUAAAGCGGCACGCGAGCUGGGUUCAGAACGUCGUGAGACAGUUCGGUCCCUAUCCGUCGCGGGCGUAGGAAAUUUGAGAGGAUCUGCUCCUAGUACGAGAGGACCAGAGUGGACUUACCGCUGGUGUACCAGUUGUCUUGCCAAAGGCAUCGCUGGGUAGCUAUGUAGGGAAGGGAUAAACGCUGAAAGCAUCUAAGUGUGAAACCCACCUCAAGAUGAGAUUUCCCAUGAUUAUAUAUCAGUAAGAGCCCUGAGAGAUGAUCAGGUAGAUAGGUUAGAAGUGGAAGUGUGGCGACACAUGUAGCGGACUAAUACUAAUAGCUCGAGGACUUAUCCAA